UGUGCUACUCUUUGGUCAUAG
Molecule: non-coding RNA, 21 nt
Organism: Caenorhabditis elegans
Lineage: Eukaryota; Metazoa; Nematoda; Chromadorea; Rhabditida; Rhabditidae
Source: Ensembl